Molecule: non-coding RNA, 82 nt
Organism: Xylariaceae sp. FL0255
Lineage: Eukaryota; Fungi; Ascomycota; Sordariomycetes; Xylariales; Xylariaceae
Source: the annotation of a GenBank genome assembly
GCCCCUAUGGCUCAGUGGUAAAGCGUCUCACUCGUAUAGGACAGUGAUGAGAAGACCCUCGGUUCGACUCCGAGUGGGGGCA